Molecule: ribosomal RNA, 253 nt
Filed under: uncultured bacterium
Lineage: Bacteria
Description: partial 16S ribosomal RNA
Rfam family: Bacterial small subunit ribosomal RNA
Source: RNAcentral
UACGGGGGGUGCGAGCGUUGUCCGGAAUCACUGGGCGUAAAGGGCGCGUAGGUGGCCCGUUAAGUGGCUGGUGAAAUCCCGCGGCUCAACUGCGGGGCUGCCGGUCAUACUGGCGAGCUAGAGCACGGUAGGGGCAGAUGGAAUUCCCGGUGUAGCGGUGGAAUGCGUAGAGAUCGGGAAGAAUACCAGUGGCGAAGGCGUUCUGCUGGGCCGUUGCUGACACUGAGGCGCGACAGCGUGGGGAGCAAACAGG